AUGGUUAAGUUAGAAAGGGCGCACGGUGAAUGCCUUGGCACUAGGAGCCGAUGAAGGACGGGACUAACACCGAUAUGCUUCGGGGAGCUGUAAGUGAGCUUUGAUCCGGAGAUUUCCGAAUGGGGAAACCCACUGUUCGUAAUGGAACAGUAUCUUUAUCUGAAUACAUAGGAUAUUGAAGGCAGACCCGGGGAACUGAAACAUCUAAGUACCCGGAGGAAGAGAAAGCAAAUGCGAUUUCCUGAGUAGCGGCGAGCGAAACGGAAUUAGCCCAAACCAAGAGGCUUGCCUCUUGGGGUUGUAGGACACUCUAUACGGAGUUACAAAGGAACGAAGUAAAUGAAGCGACCUGGAAAGGUCCGUCGAAGAAGGUAACAACCCUGUAGUUGAAACUUCGUUCCCUCUUGAGUGGAUCCUGAGUACGGCGGAACACGUGAAAUUCCGUCGGAAGCUGGGAGGACCAUCUCCCAAGGCUAAAUACUACCUAGUGACCGAUAGUGAACCAGUACCGUGAGGGAAAGGUGAAAAGCACCCCGGAAGGGGAGUGAAAGAGAUCCUGAAACCGUGUGCCUACAAGUAGUCAGAGCCCGUUAACGGGUGAUGGCGUGCCUUUUGUAGAAUGAACCGGCGAGUUACGAUCCCAUGCAAGGUUAAGCUGAUAAGGCGGAGCCGUAGCGAAAGCGAGUCUGAAUAGGGCGUUUAGUAUGUGGUUGUAGACCCGAAACCAGGUGAUCUACCCAUGUCCAGGGUGAAGUUCAGGUAACACUGAAUGGAGGCCCGAACCCACGCACGUUGAAAAGUGCGGGGAUGAGGUGUGGGUAGCGGAGAAAUUCCAAUCGAACCUGGAGAUAGCUGGUUCUCUCCGAAAUAGCUUUAGGGCUAGCCUCAUGUUGUGAGAGUCUUGGAGGUAGAGCACUGAUUGGACUAGGGGCCCCCAACGGGUUACCGAAUUCAGUCAAACUCCGAAUGCCAAAGACUUAUCCAUGGGAGUCAGACUGCGAGUGAUAAGAUCCGUAGUCAAAAGGGAAACAGCCCAGACCACCAGCUAAGGUCCCCAAGUAUACGUUAAGUGGAAAAGGAUGUGGAGUUGCUUAGACAACCAGGAUGUUGGCUUAGAAGCAGCCACCAUUUAAAGAGUGCGUAAUAGCUCACUGGUCGAGUGACUCUGCGCCGAAAAUGUACCGGGGCUAAACGUAUCACCGAAGCUGUGGAUUGACAUCUUAGAUGUCAGUGGUAGGAGAGCGUUCUAAGUGCUGUGAAGUCAGACCGUAAGGACUGGUGGAGCGCUUAGAAGUGAGAAUGCCGGUAUGAGUAGCGAAAGACAAGUGAGAAUCUUGUCCACCGAAUGCCUAAGGUUUCCUGAGGAAGGCUCGUCCGCUCAGGGUUAGUCGGGACCUAAGCCGAGGCUGAAAAGCGUAGGCGAUGGCCAACAGGUUGAUAUUCCUGUACCACCUCCCCGCCGUUUGAGUAAUGGGGGGACGCAGUAGGAUAGGGUAAGCGCGCUGCUGGAUAUGCGCGUUCAAGCAGUUAGGCUGAUGAGUAGGCAAAUCCGCUCAUCAUAAAGGCUGAGCUGUGAUGACGAGGGAAUUAUAGUACCGAAGUUCCUGAUUCCACACUGCCAAGAAAAGCCUCUAGCGAGGCGGGAGGUGCCCGUACCGCAAACCGACACAGGUAGGCGAGGAGAGAAUCCUAAGGUGAUCGAGAGAACUCUCGUUAAGGAACUCGGCAAAAUGACCCCGUAACUUCGGGAGAAGGGGUGCUCUGGUAGGGUGUAUAGCCCGAGAGAGCCGCAGUGAAUAGGCCCAGGCGACUGUUUAGCAAAAACACAGGUCUCUGCGAAGCCGCAAGGCGAAGUAUAGGGGCUGACGCCUGCCCGGUGCUGGAAGGUUAAGAGGAGGGGUUAUCCUUUGGGAGAAGCUCUGAAUCGAAGCCCCAGUAAACGGCGGCCGUAACUAUAACGGUCCUAAGGUAGCGAAAUUCCUUGUCGGGUAAGUUCCGACCCGCACGAAAGGCGUAACGAUCUGGGCACUGUCUCAACGAGAGACUCGGUGAAAUUAUAGUACCUGUGAAGAUGCAGGUUACCCGCGACAGGACGGAAAGACCCCGUGGAGCUUUACUGUAGCCUGAUAUUGAAUUUUGGUACAGCUUGUACAGGAUAGGUAGGAGCCUGAGAAGCCGGAGCGCUAGCUUCGGUGGAGGCGUCGGUGGGAUACUACCCUGGCUGUAUUGAAAUUCUAACCCGCGGCCCUGAUCGGGCCGGGAGACAGUGUCAGGUGGGCAGUUUGACUGGGGCGGUCGCCUCCUAAAAUGUAACGGAGGCGCCCAAAGGUUCCCUCAGAAUGGUUGGAAAUCAUUCGUAGAGUGUAAAGGCACAAGGGAGCUUGACUGCGAGACCUACAAGUCGAGCAGGGACGAAAGUCGGGCUUAGUGAUCCGGUGGUUCCGCAUGGAAGGGCCAUCGCUCAACGGAUAAAAGCUACCCCGGGGAUAACAGGCUUAUCUCCCCCAAGAGUCCACAUCGACGGGGAGGUUUGGCACCUCGAUGUCGGCUCAUCGCAUCCUGGGGCUGUAGUCGGUCCCAAGGGUUGGGCUGUUCGCCCAUUAAAGCGGUACGCGAGCUGGGUUCAGAACGUCGUGAGACAGUUCGGUCCCUAUCCGUCGUGGGCGUAGGAAAUUUGAGAGGAGCUGUCCUUAGUACGAGAGGACCGGGAUGGACACACCGCUGGUGUACCAGUUGUCUUGCCAAAGGCAUCGCUGGGUAGCUAUGUGUGGACGGGAUAAGUGCUGAAAGCAUCUAAGCAUGAAGCCCCCCUCAAGAUGAGAUUUCCCAUAGCGCAAGCUAGUAAGAUCCCUGAAAGAUGAUCAGGUUGAUAGGUCAGAGGUGGAAGCGUGGCGACAUGUGUAGCUGACUGAUACUAAUCGAUCGAGGACUUAACCAAAC
RNAcentral lists this ribosomal RNA (2940 nucleotides) under Priestia megaterium. RNAcentral describes it as "bacterial LSU rRNA". It matches the Rfam family "Bacterial large subunit ribosomal RNA". Lineage: Bacteria; Bacillati; Bacillota; Bacilli; Caryophanales; Bacillaceae. RNAcentral also lists the same sequence under 3 other names. The record is from RNAcentral.